AACGCAUCUUGCGCUCCUUGGUAUUCCAGAGAGCAUGCCUGUUUGAGUGUCAUGAAUAUCUCAACUUGUAGAUCUUUUGAUUUACAAAGCUUGGAUUUGGAGUGUGCUAUAUUUCUUCAUUGAUUGUAUAGCUACUCUUGAAUGUAUUAGCAAAUCUAUGUAGAGCUUGGAAUAAGCGCACUUGGCUUGAUAACAAUCUGUCAAUUGACUUGUUUCAUUCUAUGUAUGAUUUGCUUUCUAAUCUAUUAUAAAACAUUAUAUUUCGACCUCAAAUCAGGUAGGACUACCCGCUGAACUUAA
This 300-nucleotide unclassified non-coding RNA is filed under the name uncultured fungus. RNAcentral describes it as "sequence contains ITS2". Lineage: Eukaryota; Fungi. The record is from RNAcentral.